CAGGUCCAUCCAUCUUGUUGCAAAUGAUAGUGACUCCAGAGGAAGAAUCCUGUUCAGCCUGCUGUCCCCAGGGCAAUCAAUAUCCGCCAGGUGUCCAGCAUGCAAUACAGCCAACUUUCAUAAUUUCCUGCAUCCAUCUUUGAUAAUAACAGAAGAAGAACACCAUCUGGUCUGCUGCACUUGGGGCAAUUUAUACCAACCAGGUGUCCAGUAUUGAAUGUGCAAGAACUAUAAUUCACCUUAGAACAGUGGUCCCAUUAAUCCACCUCUGAUUCAUGUGGCUUCAAGAAUGCCAGUGCAUUAUGAGCAUUCAUAUACAACACACCACACCAAUUGUUAUUGAUAUGACUUUCUUGAAUAUAUAGACAAGGGAAGAUCAAUGGGAUGCUCUUGUUUCUGCAUGAAACCACUGGAUUGCUUCUCCAAAGUCAAGUGACCUAUGAUGAUAUGGAAGAACAUUCUUGGGCUUGCUGUGACUGGAGAGAUUGAUACAACCCAGGUAUCCUGUAAUAAAUAUGCCCUAACUCCAAUUCACCUUAGCACCAGAGUUCCAGGAAGCCUUCAUUGGUAAAGAUUACUGAGGAAGAGGAAUUUUUUUGGCCAGCUGCCUCUGACUCAACUUUUACCACCCAGGCAUCCUACACUCAAUCUGCCGAACUAUAGUCUACUUUUUAACCAGGAUUAAAGGUUUCCUUCCUGGUUCUGCUGAAGCUGACUGGCUGGAGUCACAUGCACACCUCUGCUGCUGUCCAUUGAGUUCUCUGGGGCUGGGUUUGGCCGACUGAGCUGCUGCGUCCAGGAUCUAGGAUCCUAGGCUCUGCCUCUGCUGUUCCCCUGUUUACCCUCCUCUAUGUGCUCCAAUUCGGACACUUUUGUCAAAAGCUAGAACAAGUUACUCUCCUUUCAAGUGAACAAGUUACUUUCAGGAAAGAAAGAAAGCUGGAAUCAGGUCUUCCACUUCAGAAAACAGGGGCAAAGUUGAACCACAUC
Equus caballus (horse) is the source of this 990-nucleotide non-coding RNA. Lineage: Eukaryota; Metazoa; Chordata; Mammalia; Perissodactyla; Equidae. The record is from RefSeq and is a predicted model, not a curated record.